Molecule: long non-coding RNA, 1067 nt
Organism: Pygocentrus nattereri (red-bellied piranha)
Lineage: Eukaryota; Metazoa; Chordata; Actinopteri; Characiformes; Serrasalmidae
Exons: 2
Source: RefSeq, a predicted model, not a curated record
CUCACGUCUUCUCCUCACAGAGAGCUCAGCAGAAGACUCACAGGCAGUGCCUCCUACAAUCACUGCAGCUCUCAACUCCUCCAAACAGUAUCUUCCUCUAACAAACAAGCUGAGGAAGUAGUGGAAUAGUGGAGAAGAUGCGCAGAGCACACAUCAACAGCAGCAUUGAGAAGCUCAAGUCUCUCCAGGGCUGAGGAUUCUGGAGAUGACAGUUAAUUUCAUAACACAUCAGUAGCAGCAGUAGAAGCUGCAGCAACAGUCCCAUGACAUGUCUGCACCACUGCAGCCAUGAAGGCUACAGCAGGUGUGUGCAGGAAGCCAUCAUCUUCCUGUCUCAGUUCAGACUCCCAGAGAAGACUGCUGAGCCACUUCCUCACCAUGCCACAUCAGCAGCAAUGAGGAAACUCCAGCCUGUACUGUGAUCUGGAGACCCUGCUAGAGCCCUGUGGACCCUUUACCAUUACAUACACACUAACAUGUCACUGUGAGACUGACAUCGACUAAGUUUCCUAAGAUUGUAGGAAUGUAAUUCCUCUGAUUUUACGUUCAUUCUAUAUAAACAUGAGGAAAUGUUUCCAGUUUGGGAAUCUUUAUCAUAUUCUUACUGUGUAAUCAGAAUAUCUUUGUUUGAAUGGAUAAACUAAGCUCAUAUUGGGUUUAUAGUCUCUGCAGGUUGUUUGAAAUCUGCUUUUAAUGAAUGAAAUCUUUUGCUCUUCUUUCUCUCCCUGUGUAAGAAUCAUUUGUGUUUAAAGUUUAAAUCUGAAUUCUUCAGUGUAAAAUGUCUGUGACAUUCUUUAAUACAGCACUUUCCUCUCCUAUGGAGUGAGAUCUAUGAAACUGUUUUUAGAUUCUGCUCUUUUCGAUGCUGCUUGUAUGAGAGUAAUAUUCCUUAAGCUACAUUAGCUGAAUGCAUUCUUUUGUGAGUGACUUUAAGGCUCUCCAACCCAGAAUUGUCUUGAGUUUGUCACCUUCAGUGAAGGUUAUGGAUGUUAUAUUACUGUAUUUGUGGACACACAAAAUCAUUACACCCAAAAAGUCCUGAAAAUAAACUGUAAUGAAACAAUCAA